AUCUGGGCGGCGGAAUUCAGGAUGGCUGGCGUGCUCUCGCGGUGCGUCGGUCGUUUGAUAUUUCCGUCGCCAACUACCGCAGACGUCGCGACCUGUUCGCGGUCGGUCCCUGCUCGGAGGAGCCGUGUUCGAGUUCGUUGUGUGCGCGCUUCUGGCACGUCACACGGCGAAGACGCGGAUCUCUGGCUGGCCGUCGGACAGUAUGCUUAACGGUGUCCGGUGUCGUCGUCUCGUACGCGCGGCAUCGGUACCGGUCGGCGACGAAUUCUUCGGGCCUCUUUCCGACCCGUCUUGAAACACGGACCAAGGAGUCUAACAUGCGCGCGAGUCGCGGGGUAUCGAGCGUACUUCGGUGCGUUCGUUAUGUUGCGAAACCCGUACAUGUUGAAGGCGUAAUGAAAGUGAAUGGGGAAGAUGGUGUUCCGAGUUCACGUUCCGCGAUCGUCGGUAUCGCGGCCGGACAUCCGCAUUCCCGGGGCGUCUCAACGGCCCGUCGCUGAUGCGGACAGUCGUCUUUCGGGGCGGCUGUCGGUCGGCGACGAACCGA
This 547-nucleotide ribosomal RNA is filed under the name Clavaspis nr. ulmi D3510A. Its description in RNAcentral is "eukaryotic LSU rRNA". The record is from RNAcentral. Lineage: Eukaryota; Metazoa; Arthropoda; Insecta; Hemiptera; Diaspididae.